UACGAAUGGGGCGAGCGUUGUUCGGAUUUACUGGGCGUAAAGGGCGCGCAGGCGGCUCAUUUUGUCAGGCGUGAAAGCCCCGGGCUUAACCUGGGAACUGCGUUUGAUACGGAUGGGCUAGAGUUCGGGAGAGGAGAGUGGAAUUCCCAGUGUAGAGGUGAAAUUCGUAGAUAUUGGGAAGAACACCGGUGGCGAAGGCGGCUCUCUGGACCGAGACUGACGCUGAGGCGCGAAAGCGUGGGGAGCAAACAGG
Molecule: ribosomal RNA, 253 nt
Filed under: uncultured bacterium
Lineage: Bacteria
Description: partial 16S ribosomal RNA
Rfam family: Bacterial small subunit ribosomal RNA
Source: RNAcentral